UUAAAGCAGCGCUAAAAAUAGGCAGCCAGUAUAGAGUUUCGUGGGCUGUAUUGUUUAGAGAUGACAAAUCUCGUCUACGUGAUAUUAUAACGUUGAUAGAAACACACUAUUAUAAAUAGAAGAGGAAGAAGCAUAUGAAAGAGCAACGAACGUUGCUAAAUCCUGUUUGAUUUUUACACAAGAACGGAUAUGUUGUAAUAUGGAGUUAUGGAUUUUUGCAAUGUUAUGUUUCAGUUCUGCAACAGUUUCAGUUCAACAAUCCAUUGUGAGUCAACUACAAUAUUCUUCUGGUGAUACCUUUAACGUAACUUGUGAUGCCUCAAAAUUUAUUGGGUUAAAAACUGCUAAUUAUUUUGUGUCAAUGUCUAUGUGGAGGCAAGUGUCAUCCCAAGCUGCUUUUAUUAAUAUGGCCUCUUAUGAGCCCCUAGCUCAGUCAAACACUACAAAUAACAUUCCACUUCAAUGGCAAAUUAAUUUCUCUGGUGGUGAAGGUUUUUCAAAUAGAAACACAAUGAAGAUUGUUGUAACUGUGGUCAACUAUCAAUGUACAGACGCAGGACUUUAUAAAUGUCAAGCUGUCUUGCCAUCUCCUGUUACUACUUAUGAAACAACGCCUGUUAAUUUAACUGCCAAGGUUGGUAUAACUCAAAACAAUAUUUCUAUGGCUCCACACAAUCAAGCAGAUGGAACAGAUGAAAAUUCUUCAGUCAAUAGUGUUGGAGAGGAGAUUUCUAUGACUUGCACGUUCACUGGUCCUGCAAAUUUGCAAGCAGUUUGGAAACGCAAUGACGAAGACUAUCCAUAUCCAAAUGAUAUCACUAAUUCUAACCCAUCAUCAUCUGUUGUUUCUGGCUGCAACAUUUAUACGUAUUCAUCCGAGUUGAAAUUUACACUUGAAGAAAGUGACAGUGGCAAUACAUACAUUUGUGUUGUUACGGAAGGAAAUAAUGAACGGAGCAGAAAAAUGUUUACUAUUGAUGUUUUAAGUACAGUCACCCUUGUUCUUCUGUUCAGUAUGUCAAAUGGCAAGACAAAAUACCAGAUACUGAAGUCCUUCGAAGAGCAUCCAUACAAUCCUGAUGCAGUCCCAGCUGCGAUAGGCAGGUCACGUCUACAUAAUGGAAGACCACCGCAUCCCUAAACGACUCUUGUAUGGCCAACUAAGCGAAGGAAAGCGCUCGAAAGGUGGUCAAAGAAAGCGCCUCAGGGACACUCUCAAAGCUUCUCUGAAGGCGUUCAGCAUAGACCAAGGCACCUGGGAGACAGAGGCACAUGACAGAGCAUCAUGGCGUCGCGCUGUGAAAACUGGCGCACAGGUUGAUGAGGAAAAAAGAACAACGCUGGCAGAAGAAAAAUAACAAAGAAAAAAAGAAAGGCCAAUGACACUAGCUUCAGCUGGAAUAACCUGCCCAGUGUGCGGCCGAACAUUCCGGGUUCACACAGGUCUCACCAGCCACAUAAGGAGGCAUAAAACCCCAGUGCAAAGCCCUCAGCCCCCUGGAUGACAAAGUGGUCCUCAUCGAACCACGAUGGACGAACUAUAUGUUCACGUGUCCACAAUUUUCACUUAAGUGUGUCACUAGUGUGUAUUAGACUCUCCUGCUGGUUUUUCUUCUCUUGUUCACGUUAAUAAAAAUGAAGUGUACCUUUUAAACAUUAGUGUUGUUAUUAGGGGUGCACCGGAUAGUCGCUCCGGCUUCUGCCGAAUAUUCGGCAUUUUUUCGCUAUUCGGCUCAUGUCGAAUAUCACUGCCAAAUAGUAAACCGGAUAAUAAAAACUACAGCGUAGUUCUUUUAUUUCUAUCAAUAUUUUUAGGCGCCUCCGUGAUAAGUCUUUUCCAGAUACACCAAACGGAGGUAACACUUAAAUAUGGAAACAACACAGGCGAAAAGCAAGCAAUAUAAAGGUAGUCGACGCUGAUAAAAGAUGUCCAACAAGAAGUUUUAUACUAAAUGAAGGAAAUCGUCGAAUGUCGCCAAACCAUGGAACUAUACUGAUGGAACACCAGCUUCGAGAUUUUAUGAUCAGAGUGCCGUCGCGCAUCUUUUUUCGCGCACCGUACCAUUUGAAAAAUCGAUGAUGAUGCCAAAGAAGAAAUUUACUCCGAGAGCCACUUUGAUCGACCUGCAUUGAGAGUAAAACUUCCUUACACUAUAUUUAAUUAGAUCUGUAAAAAUUGUAUCCAUUUUCUGACUAUCUGAUAAAAAAGAUAAAAUUUCCCUCAAUAAGAGAUCUUCACAAAAGUUAUUUUUUCAAGGCCACCUCGUUAAAAUAGAUGUUUCCAGUACUUCCUCAUUUGGGUAUUUUACACAAAAUCUGGAAAAAAUUUUAUUUACAUGCCAUAAUUAUCACUUGUCCCGCGUAAUCAAAUCCUUCACUUUUCCCGGUCAGCGGAUGUUCUUAACAAAAUUUCAAGAGAGAGUUCAUUCUUUUGCGUUGUCCAGUCAGUUUUUCUUUGGACAACUCCCCCUUUUUUGUGCUUCCUCAGCUGUAGAUCUAUAUCUUAAAGGAUGAUUUUUGACCGAUGCGACUCUCACAGCAUUAAGGAGUUCCUCCUUUUUACCAGCCAUAAUGAUGAGUUGCAAAACUAAAAAGUCCUUUUACUGAUUUUGCGUAUAGUAAAUAUUCAUAACUAUAACUUUUGUAUAAUAAUAAUAAUAAUUUUUUUUUCAUAGACAUGGUUUAAUAAAUAUAAAGAAUAAUUAACGAGCAACUACCAAUCUGGGUAUAUUAAUACUUAAAUCUGGGUAUUUUGAAUUUCGAAUUUGCAUUUUUCAAAAGUCUAUUUGACUCGUCAGAGACUGAUCAGAUGUGGUCUAAAUCUAUGCAUCGUUUAGUAAAGACAUAGUAAAAGGUGAGUAAAAAUGAUAUCUACUAUCUAGAUCCAGAAAUAUUUUGCUAAUUCUAGAAUUAGAAAUCUAGUCUAGAUCUAUAAUUAUUAUUUAUAUUUAUACUUAGUUAUAGUUUAUAGUCAGUAGGCCUAUAGAUAGUAUAAUUUAUUAUUAUUAUUUAUAAAAAAUUAUUAUUAUUGUUAGGCGAAAAAACCCGGAAGUGCGGAAGUAAAAAAAUGACCGAUAAAUGUGAGAUUGCGUUUUUUACUUUUUUUUGGCAUAGGCUGCACUUGGAAAUUUAUUACACUUUUGAAUGAAAUGCGAGAAGUUUUAAAAUUGUGUUAUCGAUUACUUUAGACAUUGGCCUAAUUAAUGCUUAAUUUCGAUUUUUUUUUAAAGUUAUUAAUCAUUUUUACAUUUAUAAUCAAAUAUACCCCUUUUUCGUUUUUAGCAAUACAGGGUCUAGGAAAAUGCCCCAUAAUUCAUAUUUUUUUGUUGCUAGAUAUCAUGCUUGGCUAUAAUUCUACCAAGUUUUAUCGCGAUCUAUCGAUCGCAUUACUCAAAAACUUGAAAAUACAGUUUAGCAUUGUGGGCUAUGGGAUUUAUAGUUUUUGGUGAGUUUUUUUAUGAGGAAAUUUUGUCCUCGAUGUAAAACCACUCCAGGCCACGUAAGGCUUAAUAUUCUGGAUAUAUUCAUAUAAUUUAGAAUUUAUUUAGCGAGCGCAUGAAUUUUAAAGCGCAUUUGGAAAAAAAAUUUAAGACGAUUUUAAUACCACUUUUUAAAUAUUUUGUUAUUUUCUGCCAUCACAACGCCGCCAUUUUGUCCACCCCCUUAUGACAUUUCUUGUAGCUCUAGACCCGAUAAUUUGUUUAUUUCAUCAAUAUUUACAUUCUAAACAAGUGAAGUUCAUAAAUAAAAAUGAAAUCUUAUUUGUGAGCUAGAAAUUUACUACUAAUACUAGAUCUACUAUUAAUUUUCAUUUUUUAUAAGUAGAUCUCUGUUGCAUUUUACGUCUCCAGAGACGAUCUUUUCCCUUUGCAACUUCUUGUGUGACUAAAGAGGCCAAUUCUUGAUACACAGCUGCGAUGGCAGGUUGGGCAUAUAUAAUCACCAGGCGCCGUUGCAUUUUAACCCUUCUUUCUGCUUCUGUUGUGUAUGACAUCUGCAAUCCGUGAGCCUUCCUUUAUGCUCUCUCUCCAUGUGAAUCUAUCCAGUGCCACCUCUUUCCAGCUGCCAGUGUCGAUUUUGAAGAGCUUCAUGUCGCGUUUGCAUACAUCCGUAUAACGUAAAAGUGGGCGACCAGCACCUCUCCUGCCUUCUAUUAGAUCGCCAUACAGGAUGUCCUGUGGAAGUCGACCUACUGGCAUUCUACGAACGUGGCCAAGCCAGCCAAGGCGUCUGCUGCUGAUAACAGAGCGGAUGUCUUGGCACCCUGCUCUUUGUAGCAUUUCCUCGAUGGUUAUCUUAUCUUGCCACCUUAUUUUAAAGAAGCCUCAGGCUAAACUGCAAGGGUCUCGGAGGAGGUUUAUUGGCCCGAAGAUGUGAGGCUGGCAUGGCUCUUUGGCGUGCGGACACGCCCUCUUGCCCAUAAACCAAACCCUUAGCUAUGGGUCAAUAGCCGCACUGCCUUGUAUGUGUGUCCCUGUGAGGUCUAAGGCUAAGGGAGUAAACCCUAACAGAAAAUCCGGCCCUGGAGCCCCGUAGGCGGGGGGGGGGACAGUAGUAAGACUACUGCUCUCUGGCAAACUCCUGCAGCCACCUGUCCCCAAAUUGUGAUGGCUCGCCAUCCCUUUGGACCCGGUCAGUAUGGAAGAGAGGCAUGUGCUGACGUGUGGGCAGCCCAGCACUCGCAAAUUUACCGCCCAGGCUUUCCCCCAGCAAUGGAGAGGUCACUCCAUCUCUGACAGUAAUGUCUUUGAAAAAAACACGGAGAGUGGUAGUUACCGGUGAUAAGUUCCUAGCUGAUUGGCGUAAGCUGGAACGCCAGGGACCACUCUUGACGGUAGGAAGGCUUUUUAGCCUCACUGGAUAGCUACUGCCUGCCUUAAGCCGAGCAGCCCUCGGACAAUAAAGUGCUAUCCCGCCACAGCUUGCCGCACCACUGGGUGCUAAGACAAAAUAAAAAAGCAAGCUGCUCACCCACACCUGCAAAUAAGUAGAUCUAUCGUCUUGGAAACUCAAUUCCAACUUUUUAACUUUUUGAGCGGGGUGUGUGUCUCGUCGGCUUAGCGGAAGUGCUUACUGGAAAUUCUAUUUGAUUGGAGUUAUGGCCUCUGGAGUAGAAUCAGCUUUUGCACUAAAUGGUGAGCUGAUAGUAUUGAAAACUUGUUCUUGACGUCUUUUAAUUUGAUUUUAUAAAUUGCACAAUUAAGGAAUCUAAAUAGUUCUUGUACUUUUAAUUAUUUCACUAGAAAUAGUUUCACCUUUCAAUGACAAAUCCUGUUUUCUUUUGCUUGAUUGUAGAAAUGGGAAAGCUUUGUUUGAAAAGAUUUAACAUGCAUUUACAUUUCUUAUGUAAAAGGCCCAUUGCGAUAGCAACUAUGAAACACAUGAAAUAUGUCCUUCAAGUAACAUAACAAUUUCUUCCUUGAGAUUUUAUAUUGUUCUCAUUUGCCUUGCCCAUGCUAAGAUAGCGAAUACAGUGGAUUAUUUUGUUCAUAAAUCGGAACUACCUGUGGUUAACACUUCCUAGCUCUGUGAAGUUCGAUUACAAAGUCUAUCUGAUCAAUAAUGUAUUGAAAUUUUAAGCAGCUUUGUGCAAACUUUCCUGUUUAGAGUUUAUGGUUGGGAUAUUUUUUUUAUAAAAAACAACAACAACAACGACUAUUUUAAUCAGUCAAAGAUCCAGCUCCAUCAGUUGUUAUAUACUGUGGGCACAACUGAUUUCUGUAGGAGUCGGCGGGUCACAUAAAACACUCCGGCGGGCCGCAUGUGUCCUGCGUGACGUAGUUUGCCCACCCCUGUUCUAGGAGAUAGUCACCGUGAGCUAGUGCCAUUAGUGGAACGUUAUCUUGUAACUUGUGUCAGUUGUAAGUCAGUGACUCAAUGCUAUAACUCAAUUAUCAUUUUUAAAUAAAAGUAGACAUUUAUAGAUCUAGAUCUUUUAUAUUCUAUGUUAAAGUACAUAGAUUAUAGAUCUGGUAGACUAUAUAUAUAGCUAGAUCUAUAACUUUUAAAACUUUGACAAUGCUUGAUUUGAUUUGGAUUAAAAAUCACAUCCUUGUGGUUAAAGUCACUAGAAUGUCUCAAAAGUCUGAAAUUGAUUAGAGAGGGACAACGAGGCAAGAAUCUAUUACUCUGUCUAUGAUCUAUCUGCUUACUAAGCUAGUCAAGUUUAAUCUCGACAACUAGUCCUCUAGUUUCUAGAUCUAGAUUAAGUUUAAAUUUAGACUCUAUAAUGUAAAACUAUUUACUGAUAAUAGCUAAAAUGCUAAUCAACUGAUCUAGAGAACUUAUUAUUAAGAUAUCAGUAUACAAUUCAGACUAGUUAUAGAGAUAUAAUCUAUAUAGGGCCUAUGCCGUAAAAGAUUUAAUUUAUUAUCUAUGCCAGGCUAUGGUCAUGCUUAGACCGUGUUUACUAGACAUACAGUUCUUUAAAAGCUGUUGGAAGUUGACAUGUUUUGUUUAUAUGAAUAUAGUGCUGUGCUGACCACAGAAAUAAAUGCUAUCUUAUUUUUUUAUUAUAUUUUGUGUUCUCUAACCAUUGGUAUUUUUUCAUGGCAACACUUCUGAUCUAGUAUGUGAUAAAUUGUUUUAAAAAAAAUGCUUGUCAUUUUCAGUUAUUAACAAGUAGAACCAUGACAACCAGUUCUGAUGACAUACCAGUUUGGCUCAAUAAGCAUACUUAUACUAUAUCCACUCUCUGGGCAGAUAUCGAGAAUAUUGGCAUCCAUUCUAUAUAUGGUAUAACUUGCUGUGACAAGAAAAGAUGAUAUUCUUGGACUCCUGCAUAGCAGCACAAGUGAAAUCCCAUAAUGUUGCAAAAUACGUUUGGAACAAUUUUAAUAAGUUGUAUUAUACUGAAAACUCUGUACAUAUUUAUGUAUAUCCUGUCAUUCAGCCAACAGGUUUGGAUUUAGUAUUUCUUUAAAACUAUUGUUUUGAGCCCCAUUUAAACAAGAGGGAAGUGCAGUGGUUGAGUGAUAAAUAGCUUGGCUUCUGAACCAAGAGGUCAUGGGUUUGAAGAUUGUGAUUUUCAAUUUUGGAAUCUUUAAGGCACCUCUGAGACCACCCAGCUCUAAUGGGAAAACAUUAGGUGGGAAAUAGUAAAGGUGUUUGGUCAUUGUGCUGGCCACAUGACACUCUUGCUAACCAUGUGCCACAGAAACAGAUGACCUUUAUAUAAUCUGCCCCAUAAAUCGCAAGGUCUAAAAGGGAAUUUUUUUUAUUUUUUU
Molecule: RNA transcript, 7226 nt
Organism: Biomphalaria glabrata
Lineage: Eukaryota; Metazoa; Mollusca; Gastropoda; Planorbidae
Exons: 7
Source: RefSeq, a predicted model, not a curated record